CCCGGCGACAAGCGGUGGAGUAUGUGGUUUAAUUCGAUGCAACGCGAAGAACCUUACCUAGUCUUGACAUCCCGGAGACCCUUAGGAAACUAGGGGGUGGCUUCCAUCUGGAAGAAUCUGGAGACAGGUGCUGCAUGGCUGUCGUCAGCUCGUGUCGUGAGAUGUUGGGUUAAGUCCCGCAACGAGCGCAACCCUUGCCUUUAGUUGCCAGCAGUUCGGCUGGGCACUCUAAAGGGACUGCCGGUGUUAAACCGGAGGAAGGUGGGGAUGACGUCAAGUCCUCAUGGCCUUUAUGACCAGGGCUACACACGUACUACAAUGGCCGAUACAAAGGGCAGCGACACUGCGAGGUGAAGCCAAUCCCGUAAAAUCGGUCUCAGUCCGGAUUGGAGUCUGCAACUCGACUCCAUGAAGUUGGAAUCGCUAGUAAUCGUGGAUCAGCAUGCCACGGUGAAUACGUUCCCGGGCCUU
Molecule: ribosomal RNA, 471 nt
Filed under: uncultured Desulfobulbus sp.
Lineage: Bacteria; Pseudomonadati; Thermodesulfobacteriota; Desulfobulbia; Desulfobulbales; Desulfobulbaceae
Description: bacterial SSU rRNA
Rfam family: Bacterial small subunit ribosomal RNA
Source: RNAcentral